RNAcentral lists this long non-coding RNA (3119 nucleotides) under Homo sapiens (human). Its description in RNAcentral is "HSALNT0247787". The record is from RNAcentral. Lineage: Eukaryota; Metazoa; Chordata; Mammalia; Primates; Hominidae.
CCGCUGCUUGCCGGGUCCCGGCCCGGCGACGCGCGCUCACACCCUCCUCCCGAGCCGCCCUCACGCCGAGCGCUGCGGACGGGGGCGCGCAACCUGCCGCCGGCCGGGACCCUGCGGCGAGUGCCGGAACCCGGCCGGGCGGGGCCUCCCGCGGCCCGGCCGCUUUAUUGGGUCACCGGCCUCGCCCACCGCCCUGCCAGCCGCAGCCAUCUCGGCGGGCGCGCCGCUCGCAGCCAGCGCCCCAUCCCCAGGCCUGCACGUACGUCGUCGGCGAUCCGGGGCCGGGGGCGGCUCCGAGGUCGUCGGGGCCGGGGUCCCACCUCCUCUUGGAGGAAGCGCCGCCUCCCCACCCGCCCGGGGCCCUCGCCAAGUGGCUGCUAACAAAGCCCAGGGCCCGGCUGCGGGAUGGUUGACUGACAAAGUCAUGCCUGCCUAGCCAGCUUCCUCGUGCAGCACGGUGAAGGCUGGGGCGCCGGGUUUUUACUCCCACGUCCUGCCAACUCGAGCUGACAAGGCGGGCAAUCCACCAGCGGGAGCGUUGGCAGGCCCGGGGUCAGAUCCUGAUUCAGCCAGUUAAUUGGUAGGAGUGGGGCCCAUUUGUAGAAUGAAGGUGAUAACUGCCUCGUGGGGUUAUUGGCAUUAAAUGAAGAAUGUAGGGAACCUAGCAUGGUUCUUGAUGUCUAGGAGGUGCUCGGUGAAGGGUGCCUAUGAUUCGCUUUGUCUUCUAAAUACUUUUGGCAGCACUUGAGGUGUUAAAGUCUGUAUCCCAGACUUUAUUAGUCUUGUUGUUUUACGUGACUUAAGCGAUUAGCUCAAACGCCCAAGUACAAAAUGGGGCUAAACCCAGGUUUUCCGACACGAUUCUACCUCCAUGGCUCUAUCUCCAGCUCCACCCAAGGCCUCCAAAAUGGUGUUCUCCUAAAGUGACCAACAAAACACCAAGCUGUGUCAUGGUGCCACUUUGGCGAUGUGGUCUCUUAGGAGAGGGAAUUCUAAGUAGUUAAUUAGCUUGUUCCUUUCUACGUUGUAGUCUUGACCAAGGACAAUGUGUUGGCAUUUAAUGCCACUGAAGAUUUAAGAGACUAAGGAAUCAGAUCCUCUGAGAUUCCUAAAUCUGUGUAAUAAAAUGGGUUCUACACAUAGCUAUUCCAAAAAAUUCAGUCAGAUAUUACUAACAAGAUAGACAGAUUAUAAUCUGUAUGAAAUUUCUAGGAGUAAUAAAAAUCAGAAUAGACCCCGUAACCCCGAGUAUGUGUCUAAUUUUCUCAACUAUAAAAUAAUUAAAACUAAAGGCCUUUCUCUUCCUCCCUUGGUGAAUGCCCUUAUGUGAAUUCAGCUGACACACUCAGAAUGACAAAGGAGUUAGAAAUUCACAUCAACAGCAAUUGGUCCCAACUGACUCAAACCAUGAGACUUCUGCCCUGCUAAGAUACCUUGUCAGUAUCUACCACUUUAGCAAUUCUGGGUAAAUGGGGGAAGAAAGAGCCAAAUCAGCUCUUUUUUUUUUUUUCAUUAAAAAGCAAAUUUUUUUUAGAGCCAGUCUUGCCUUACGUAGCCCAGGCUGGAGUGCAGUGGCACAAUCAUGACUCACUGUAACCUCGAACUCCUGGCCUCAAGAGAUCCUCCCAUCUCAGCCUCCCAAGUAACUGGAACUAAAGGCACAGGCCACUCCACCUGGCCAAUUUAUUUUUAAAAUUUUUUAGGGACGUGGUUCUACUGUGUUGCCCAGGUGGGUCUUGAACUCCUGGCCUCAAGCAAUCCUCUGGCCUUGGUCUCCCAAAGCACCAGGAUUACAGGUGUGAGCCACCAAACCCGGCCCAAAUCAGCUCUUUAUUCUAACUGGUGGUCUCACCGCAACAACACAAAAUCUACAGCGUGCCAACUGUGCUUCAGCCGCUGGAUGCACUAAGACAAAACUGUCUUGAUCUACACAGUUGAGUUAGACUUAACAGUUCUCAGUAAUCAUGAUAAAAUAGGGACUAUGUACCAAAUGCUAGCCUAGGAUAUGGAACAACUAAUUCUGCCUUUGGUAGCUAGGCCUCAGUAAGUUUUAUCUCAGUAUUCUGUGGGAAGGGCAGCAAAGGAGGAGGAUCUGUAUCAUUUUUCUGUAUUCAAGAGCUAUGCAUUUGAUUAUCAUCUUAGCUGAAUUACACAUUGCAAGAAGUGCCUUUAAGCAAUAUGGUUUUUAGAUAUUUCAGUGACGGUAUCAUUCAUGGUUCAGCACAAAUAUGUGUUUUUUACAUUUCACUUUCUCUCCUUUCUAAAAGAAAGGAGUUUUUAAACCAGUGUUUACAAACUGCACUCUGUCCCCUUCUUCUAAGAAAUAAUAUUUAAACAAAUAAUAGCAAUCAUUAUUCUACAUACCUUUAACCCAGCUUCACUUACAAUGCAGCUCGUGGAUGGCAGAGCUGUGUGUUGUCCGUGGUCAGACACACAGGAAGUCUGAAUUGUUAUCCUGUUCUGCCACUGAAAUGUGUAAAAUAUAGGGGGAGUGUCCCAAGUCAUUUUCCUAAAAGCAUCAUCCAACUAUGUAAGUACUAAGGCCUGCAUUUUUAAGAAUAAGUCCUCUUCCAAAUGAUAAGGAAAGGGUUUUUGUUUGUUUGUUUUUGAGACAGGCUCUUGCUGUGUCACCCAGGCUGGAGUGCAGUGGUGCAGUCUCAGCUCACUGCAACCUCCACCUCCUAGGCUCUGGCAGUCCUCCCACCUUAGCCCCCUGAGUAGUUGGGACUACAGGUGGGCGCCACCACACCCAGCUAAUUUUGGUAUUUUUUCGUAGAGACGGGGUUUUGCCAUGUUGCCCAGGCUGAUCUCAAACUCCUGGGCUCAGGUGAUCUGCCCGCCUUGGCCUCCCAAAGUGCUGGGGUUAUAGGCAUGAGCCACUGUGCCUGGCCACAGUGACAAUUUUUCUUAGCAGCCAAUGAGCCUUGGAAAUUAAUGUGUCUGGCUUUUCAACCACAAACAAACAUAAAAAAAAAAUGGCGAAAACAUCGCUAAUAAACAAAACCCACCUGAUGUUGCUUGCCACUAUCAUGUUUGUUAAUUUUUGUAUCGGUGAUUGAACCAUUCACUUUUUUCUUCAGAAUUAUCAUUCCUGAAACUGAAAGUAUAUAAGGACAGCC